AACGAACGCUGGCGGCAUGCCUAACACAUGCAAGUCGAACGAGACCUUCGGGUCUAGUGGCGCACGGGUGCGUAAUGCGUGGGAACCUGCCCUUAGGUUCGGAAUAACUCCCCGAAAGGGGUGCUAAUACCGGAUAAUGUCUUCGGACCAAAGAUUUAUCGCCUUUGGAUGGGCCCGCGUUGGAUUAGCUAGUUGGUAGGGUAAAAGCCUACCAAGGCGACGAUCCAUAGCUGGUCUGAGAGGAUGAUCAGCCACACUGGGACUGAGACACGGCCCAGACUCCUACGGGAGGCAGCAGUGGGGAAUAUUGGACAAUGGGCGAAAGCCUGAUCCAGCAAUGCCGCGUGAGUGAUGAAGGCCUUAGGGUUGUAAAGCUCUUUUAACCGGGAUGAUAAUGACAGUACCGGGAGAAUAAGCUCCGGCUAACUCCGUG
RNAcentral lists this ribosomal RNA (433 nucleotides) under uncultured bacterium. Its description in RNAcentral is "partial 16S ribosomal RNA". It matches the Rfam family "Bacterial small subunit ribosomal RNA", at positions 29 to 507 of the family's 1533-position model. The record is from RNAcentral.